UUCAGGAAAUGGGGCUAAUACCGGAUAGGAGCUCCUGCUGCAUGGUGGGGGUUGGAAAGUUUCGGCGGUUGGGGAUGGACUCGCGGCUUAUCAGCUUGUUGGUGGGGUAGUGGCUUACCAAGGCUUUGACGGGUAGCCGGCCUGAGAGGGUGACCGGCCACAUUGGGACUGAGAUACGGCCCAAACUCCUACGGGAGGCAGCAGUGGGGAAUAUUGCACAAUGGGCGGAAGCCUGAUGCAGCAACGCCGCGUGCGGGAUGACGGC
Molecule: ribosomal RNA, 265 nt
Filed under: Actinomyces israelii
Lineage: Bacteria; Bacillati; Actinomycetota; Actinomycetes; Actinomycetales; Actinomycetaceae
Description: partial 16S ribosomal RNA
Rfam family: Bacterial small subunit ribosomal RNA
Source: RNAcentral